Molecule: ribosomal RNA, 429 nt
Filed under: Acidobacteriota bacterium
Lineage: Bacteria; Pseudomonadati; Acidobacteriota
Description: Acidobacteria bacterium partial 16S ribosomal RNA
Rfam family: Bacterial small subunit ribosomal RNA
Source: RNAcentral
UGGGGAAUUUUGGACAAUGGGGGAAACCCUGAUCCAGCCAUCCCGCGUGUGCGAUGAAGGCCUUCGGGUUGUAAAGCACUUUUGGCAGGAAAGAAACGUCAUGGGUUAAUACCCCGUGAAACUGACGGUACCUGCAGAAUAAGCACCGGCUAACUACGUGCCAGCAGCCGCGGUAAUACGUAGGGUGCAAGCGUUAAUCGGAAUUACUGGGCGUAAAGCGUGCGCAGGCGGUUCGGAAAGAAAGAUGUGAAAUCCCAGAGCUCAACUUUGGAACUGCAUUUUUAACUAACGUGUUAGAGUGUGUCAGAGGGAGGUGGAAUUCCGCGUGUAGCAGUGAAAUGCGUAGAUAUGCGGAGGAACACCGAUGGCGAAGGCAGCCUCCUGGGAUAACACUGACGCUCAUGCACGAAAGCGUGGGGAGCAAACAGG